Lutra lutra (Eurasian river otter) is the source of this 2473-nucleotide long non-coding RNA. RefSeq lists it as uncharacterized. The record is from RefSeq and is a predicted model, not a curated record. The transcript is spliced from 7 exons. NCBI's taxonomy places the organism in Eukaryota, Metazoa, Chordata, Mammalia, Carnivora, Mustelidae.
GGGCUCGCGGCCCGGAAGAGAGGAGGGGCGAUGACCCGGGAAAGGGUUGGCGCCGCGCGGGACAGGCUAGCGCGCCUUGGGGGUGGGAGGGGAGGAGCCGGAGGGGCGGGGCCUCGCCGAGAGCCCGCCCCUGAGACCGGGGCUGAACGGCGCACAGACCCUUCCAGUCCGACGGCUAGGCCCACAGAACCUCGGCCUACACUCCUCCGUCGAGAUCCACCUGGGAGGCCGAGCUGACCCCCGCCAGCCUCCCGCACUACCUGGUGCAUCGCCAUCGGGGGCCGUGCUUGGGCCUCCUCUUAUCCUCUGGUCUCUCCUUGCCAACCUGUCCCCUGACAACCUCUGGCCACGAGUUCUAGGCCUAGUUCUGCUCGGGCUCUUGAGAGAUGGGGUGGCGACCCGUAUCAGAUGGAAGGGAGACUUUGCAUUUAUGGACUGAUCCUCGUGUGGUAAUUUGAGGCACGUCCACUGUGCAGCUGCUUUGUGAUAUUUCAGGUUGUUUUUUAGAACUCCUAGUUGGGCUGUACCCUGGCCAGGCCAGAAGUUCCCUCAGAACAGGGGCUGCUUCCUGUUAACCGGUGUUCCAGCCUGGCACUGAGUACAGUGUCUUGCACAAAGGAGGGGCUCCAGGGAUGUUGGCCGAAUGAGUGAAACUUUGAGAGUCCAAGCUUUCCGUUACUGAGAUGUUCCUACUCCAGAGCUUCCGCCAUACAAAGCUUCAUCUUUGAGCAAAUACAGAUGUGGAAAGAUGAUCCAAUGAGAUGUUUCCAUAAAGAACAUGUUCCCACUCCACACCUGGACCAGGAGCAGCUCAAAACAUGGAACUAAAAGCCACAAGUCCUAUGGGUGAGCAGAAAAACAUCCCAGAGAGAGGUUGUCAUAGGAACUGUGCCAGAAGAGCAGUUACUCAAUAGAAUGUACCAUCCAAAGAAGAGAGGAAGGAACUGAUCUUGAAGCAUCUUUUACCACCCAUUUUAGGGAACAAUCUUUCAUGAAUCUCCUCAUGGAAAUUGUCCACAGUGACGGCAGGAGACCUCUGAGGAAGACACAAUCAUUAUUCAAAUUUUCCAGAUGAAAAAAAUGAAGCACAAAGAAGGUGAAUUGUUCAAGGUCACAUGUUAAGCACCAGGUGUGGAAUGUGAACCUCUGUGUAAAAUGGCACAGCUUUCCUCUGGAAGGGGCUCUGUGACGACUAAAUCCAGGAAAAUUAACCAAGACAGAUCCAUGAUGUGGGGAGAUUUUUUUUUUUCCCACAAAAACAACUAGCCUUUGAAACUUCCAUAUUAACGCAAAAAGAAUCUCCUGACCACCAAAAGAACAAACAGCUGAAUGGGUGGGAGACAUUUAUUAUAAUUGAUGCAACCAGAAGAUACCAUCUCCUCCAUUUCUAAUUAACCAUGGUUCUCAAUGCCAUCAGGAUCACCUGCAUAGAUUGUUAAAACCCAGGAUGCUGGGCCGCACCCCCAGAAUUUGACUCAGUGGGUUUGAGAUUGUGUAUUUCUAACAAAUUCCCAGAUGAUGCUAAUGCUAGUGUUUCAGGCACCUGCAGGUUGAGACGCACGGAAAUAAGCUAUGAAUUGUGUAAGUUUAGUGACAUAAUUAUUGCUUGGUCACUUUUGUCCAAUUAGCCCUAGUCUGUUUACUCAGGAGGAUGUUUGAUUGAUGCCAGAAGCAGUUUGGACUGUGAGUGUGUCAGUGGACUGUGACGGAUGAGAAGACCACACUUUGUGGCUGACAUUGUUUGGACAUUGUUGAUCCUAUGAGUGAAUUCAAAGAAAUCCUUUUUUCCAUGUUCCCUACCUCCCAGAGGAAGGACUGUAGACUUGAAGGUCAAGCACUAUUUAAACUUCAGUGACCUGUCGUGAUAAUGCCUGGGAGGGGAUGCGUGGGAUGAGGUAAGGCACUGUACUGACAUGGAGCCUGUGUGAUCCUAAUGUCUAAAUUUUUUUUAAAAAUGGGGUCACGAGAACAUAAUUUGUGGGAUCCAGCACAAAAUAAAAAUGAGGCGUCUUUUGAUAAAGAAUUAUGAAUAAUUUCAAGCGGCAACAGUAGCGCAUAAAGUGCAUUUGAGACCCUUCUCACUGUAGAGCUGGUGUGACCUGUCCAUGAAAUUGGUCCUGACUGUGGUCCUGCAAGGGUUUCCAGACAUUUCUGGGACAGAAAGCAAAUGCCAGGGGAAGAGACAGGGUGAGGCAGAGGAAUUGCAUGACGCCUGUGGAGAUGGUGGAGCAUGAGCUGGAGUUAGAGCUGACUUUCUUGGCCCUUCUUUCUCUCUGCUUUGUUAUUGUGCUACCCCCGCUUCCCCCCAACCCCUCCACCCCAGAAGAGAGAGUGAAGGGUUGGUCUGUGCCUCAGGAUAUAUGAGCCAUGAUGGGUUAAGAAACAAUGCCAAGGACGCCACCAACCUGCUACCCCCUUCAGAGCAGGGAAGAGUCUGAGAAAUGCCAGGUGCCUGGGAUCAGCAGGUCUUCGC